AUUGAACGCUGGCGGCAGGCCUAACACAUGCAAGUCGAGCGGAUGACGGGAGCUUGCUCCUUGAUUCAGCGGCGGACGGGUGAGUAAUGCCUAGGAAUCUGCCUGGUAGUGGGGGACAACGUUUCGAAAGGAACGCUAAUACCGCAUACGUCCUACGGGAGAAAGCAGGGGACCUUCGGGCCUUGCGCUAUCAGAUGAGCCUAGGUCGGAUUAGCUAGUUGGUGGGGUAAUGGCUCACCAAGGCGACGAUCCGUAACUGGUCUGAGAGGAUGAUCAGUCACACUGGAACUGAGACACGGUCCAGACUCCUACGGGAGGCAGCAGUGGGGAAUAUUGGACAAUGGGCGAAAGCCUGAUCCAGCCAUGCCGCGUGUGUGAAGAAGGUCUUCGGAUUGUAAAGCACUUUAAGUUGGGAGGAAGGGCAGUAAGUUAACACCUUGCUGUUUUGACGUUACCGACAGAAUAAGCACCGGCUAACUCUGUGCCAGCAGCCGCGGUAAUACAGAGGGUGCAAGCGUUAAUCGGAAUUACUGGGCGUAAAGCGCGCGUAGGUGGUUUGUUAAGUUGGAUGUGAAAGCCCCGGGCUCAACCUGGGAACUGCAUCCAAAACUGGCAAGCUAGAGUACGGUAGAGGGUGGUGGAAUUUCCUGUGUAGCGGUGAAAUGCGUAGAUAUAGGAAGGAACACCAGUGGCGAAGGCGACCACCUGGACUGAUACUGACACUGAGGUGCGAAAGCGUGGGGAGC
Molecule: ribosomal RNA, 746 nt
Filed under: uncultured Pseudomonadota bacterium
Lineage: Bacteria; Pseudomonadati; Pseudomonadota
Description: bacterial SSU rRNA
Rfam family: Bacterial small subunit ribosomal RNA
Source: RNAcentral